UGCCGGGUCGUCUAACGGUAGGACGCAUGGCUCUGGACCAUGUAGUGGAGGUUCGAAUCCUUCCCCGGCAGCCA
RNAcentral lists this transfer RNA (74 nucleotides) under Candidatus Poribacteria bacterium. Its description in RNAcentral is "tRNA-Gln". It matches the Rfam family "tRNA". Rfam says of the family: Transfer RNA (tRNA) molecules are approximately 80 nucleotides in length. Their secondary structure includes four short double-helical elements and three loops (D, anti-codon, and T loops). Further hydrogen bonds mediate the characteristic L-shaped molecular structure. tRNAs have two regions of fundamental functional importance: the anti-codon, which is responsible for specific mRNA codon recognition, and the 3' end, to which the tRNAs corresponding amino acid is attached (by aminoacyl-tRNA synthetases). tRNAs cope with the degeneracy of the genetic code in two manners: having more than one tRNA (with a specific anti-codon) for a particular amino acid; and 'wobble' base-pairing, i.e. permitting non-standard base-pairing at the 3rd anti-codon position. RNAcentral also lists the same sequence under 1 other name. Lineage: Bacteria; Candidatus Poribacteria. The record is from RNAcentral.